AACGCGAAGAACCUUACCUGGGCUUGAACCGCUACGGACCAACGGUAGAAAUAUCGUCUUCCCGCAAGGGACCGUAGUAGAGGUGCUGCAUGGCUGUCGUCAGCUCGUGCCGUGAGGUGUUGGGUUAAGUCCCGCAACGAGCGCAACCCUUACUCGUAGUUGCUACCCGCAAGGGAGAACUCUACGAGGACUGCUCCGGAUAACGGAGAGGAAGGUGGGGAUGACGUCAAGUCAGCACGGCCUUUAUGUCCAGGGCUACACACGUGUUACAAUGCAUGGUACAGACUGUUGCGAACCCGCGAGGGGGAGCUAAUCGGACAAAGCCAUGCUCAGUUCGGAUUGCAGUCUGCAACUCGACUGCAUGAAGCUGGAAUCGCUAGUAAUGCCGUAUCAGAUCGACGGCGUGAAUACGUUCCCGGGCCUUGUA
This 427-nucleotide ribosomal RNA is filed under the name uncultured Acidobacteriota bacterium. RNAcentral's name for it is "bacterial SSU rRNA". It matches the Rfam family "Bacterial small subunit ribosomal RNA", at positions 958 to 1385 of the family's 1533-position model. The record is from RNAcentral. Lineage: Bacteria; Pseudomonadati; Acidobacteriota.